RNAcentral lists this transfer RNA (70 nucleotides) under Apaloderma vittatum (bar-tailed trogon). It matches the Rfam family "tRNA". Rfam says of the family: Transfer RNA (tRNA) molecules are approximately 80 nucleotides in length. Their secondary structure includes four short double-helical elements and three loops (D, anti-codon, and T loops). Further hydrogen bonds mediate the characteristic L-shaped molecular structure. tRNAs have two regions of fundamental functional importance: the anti-codon, which is responsible for specific mRNA codon recognition, and the 3' end, to which the tRNAs corresponding amino acid is attached (by aminoacyl-tRNA synthetases). tRNAs cope with the degeneracy of the genetic code in two manners: having more than one tRNA (with a specific anti-codon) for a particular amino acid; and 'wobble' base-pairing, i.e. permitting non-standard base-pairing at the 3rd anti-codon position. The record is from Rfam by way of RNAcentral. Lineage: Eukaryota; Metazoa; Chordata; Aves; Trogoniformes; Trogonidae.
GGUCAGCUCAGUCGGUUAGAGCAUGGUGCUGAUAAUACCAAGGUCACGGGUUCGAUCUCCAUUCAGUCCA